ACUCAAAGGAAUAGACGGGGACCCACACAAGCGGUGGAGCAUGUGGUUUAAUUCGACACUAAACGUAGGACCUCACCCAGGCUUGACAUGUCUGGGACCCGCCGGAAACGGCGGGGUGCCCGCAAGGGAAUCAGAACACAGGUGUUGCAUGGUCGUCGUCAGCUCGUGUCGUGAGAUGUUGGGUUAAGUCCCGCAACGAGCGCAACCCUCGUCGAUAGUUGUAUUUCUCUAUCGAGACUGCCCGGGAGAACUGGGAGGAAGGUGGGGAUGACGUCAGAUCAGCAUGACCCUUAUGCCUGGGGCCACACACGUGCUACAAUGGUGAGGACAAUGGGCUGCAAACCCGCGAGGGGGAGCAAAUCCCUUAAAACUCACCUCAGUUCGGAUUGAGGGCUGCAACUCGCCCUCAUGAAGUUGGAAUCGCUAGUAACCGCCGGUCAGCCAUACGGCGGUGAAUAUGUUCCUGGGUCUUGCACACACCGCCCGU
RNAcentral lists this ribosomal RNA (487 nucleotides) under uncultured bacterium. Its description in RNAcentral is "partial 16S ribosomal RNA". It matches the Rfam family "Bacterial small subunit ribosomal RNA", at positions 899 to 1397 of the family's 1533-position model. The record is from RNAcentral.